Molecule: long non-coding RNA, 1013 nt
Filed under: Coturnix japonica (Japanese quail)
Lineage: Eukaryota; Metazoa; Chordata; Aves; Galliformes; Phasianidae
Description: lncRNA (ENSCJPG00005017179.1)
Source: RNAcentral
GAUAAACUUCAUGAUGACACCAUUUUUGGCAUACUGGCACAAUGCUUCGAUAAGGGUUUCAACUGAAACAUGUACAUCAUCCUGCCGGCAAGAAAGCAAGCUCUGUGUCUGCGUGGGGAAGAUCACAGUUUCACUGUACUGCAUUCCAGAAAUAGCAGGGAAAUUUGUCAAGGUUUUCUGUACAUUCUCUCCUUUUCUCCUACAUACGAACCUAUGCAAUCUUCUAAGAACAGGGAGAGAUGCCAAAAUGAACACAGUGAUGUAAUGGUCUGUGAUGCUGGGGUAAGGCAGAACUGACUCUGCAUCUUGUUACUGUAGUAUAUGGUCUGUUUGUUAUAUAAUAGGUCUGUAAGCCUAUCCCAGUCAUGACCAAAUAUAUGUAGUUAAAUACAUCUAAAUUUAACUUCCAGAGACAUCUGAAUUUAGCAACAGACUGGCCACCUAUUUGAGAGGCCAGUUUUUCUCCUCCCUAAUCACCUUUAUAAAUGGAAAUCCACUAUAUAUCGUUCUGAGGGUGGGUAAAGGAGACAGCUCCUUAACUAUUUUGUAAACCAUGGUGAGGUGAGAAAUCCACAGUGAGGCAUGAAAAUGUGAGGUGCUUGAGACAUGGACCAUUGUAUUUUACUGCAACACCUAAUGUUUGCAUUGCUUUCUAAAAUGUAUUUCUGUAACUUUGCAGUCAUUAUUCAAAGACGCAAGUUGUAUAUAGAUUUAAUUAUAAAUAGUAUUGUUGUUAUUUUUCCAGAUUCAGAAAGGGAUUUUAAAUGCUUUAUAGGUGUAUCUAAACCAAAAGUGUUAAAGAAAAAUUACAGGAUCUCUUUUUUUUUUUUUUUUUUUAAUUAGAACAGUCAGAGGCUACAUCCUGCACACUGUCUCAAGCAUAAAUGUAUGCUAUUAACUGCAUUACUUUAAGGAACACCAGCAAGUGAGUAUCAAACUGCUUCCCACUGACCCUCAAAGUCUCUAAGUUUCAUCUGCAGCUAAAAAAGAGUGCCUGUUUCCUUGAGAGAGAC